This 387-nucleotide ribosomal RNA is filed under the name uncultured bacterium. RNAcentral describes it as "bacterial SSU rRNA". It matches the Rfam family "Bacterial small subunit ribosomal RNA", at positions 32 to 410 of the family's 1533-position model. The record is from RNAcentral.
AAUCAACGCUGGCGGCGUGCCUCAGACAUGCAAGUCGAACGAUUAAAGCUCUCUUCGGAGAGUGCAUAAAGUGGCGCACGGGUGAGUAACACGUAAGUAAUCUACCUUCGAGUGGGAAUAACGUCCGGAACGGACGCUAAUACCGCAUAAUGCAGCGGCGAUCGCAAGAUGACAGUUGUUAAAGGAGCAAUUCGCUUGAAGAGGAGCUUGCGGCAGAUUAGCUAGUUGGUAAGGUAACGGCUUACCAAGGCUACGAUCUGUAACCGGUCUAAGAGGACGGUCGGUCACACUGACACUGAAUAACGGGUCAGACUCCUACGGGAGGCAGCAGUCGGGAAUUUUGGGCAAUGGGCGAAAGCCUGACCCAGCAACGCCGCGUGAAGGAUG